GAGCGAGGUGAAAUGAGGGGAAAGAGGGGACGGGGGUAUUCGGGUUCUUGGGGGAACCCCCACCUUCUGCUGCAUGGCCCCCACUCCCAUUUUUGAGGGGUGCACGUGCGGGUGUCCCGCCCCUGGUGUACCCCGUUACCAUUCCGUGCGAAAGUGUCGGACGGAGUGUGGCGCAGUGGGUAAGGAACUGGGCUUGUAACCGAAAGGUCGCAGGUUCAAUUCCCGGGUAGGACUCUGCCGUUGUACCCUUGAGCAAGGUACUUAACCGAAAUUGCUUCAGUAUAUAUCCAGCUGUAUAAAUGGAUACAAUGUAAAAAAAUGCUAUGUAAAAAGUUGUGUAAGUCGCUCUGGAUAAGAGCGUCUGCUAAAUGCCUAUAAUGUAAUGUAAUGUAAUAACGAAAGAAAGAGAGGGCGGCUGGGGAACGAGGGAUGUUAUGGGAAGAGUGGGAGGGAGCGGAAAGAGGAAGCGGGAUGGAGGGAGAAGAGGUGGAGAGUGUCGAACGCGCCCACUUGGGCCGGCUCGAUCCCUCCGGCUGUUCCAUGAGGGCUGCGGAAUUUAAACCGCUGUCUGAUGUCUCAUUCUUCGAUCACCGCCGUUGAGAAACAGGCUCUCCUCCGAGCAUAGGCGCCCCCCCCCCCCAAAACUGCUGUGUGAAACUGUGGACUUGUCUGCCCUGUGCCUGGGAGUCACUGGACUGGCAAUCCUGAGGCCUGUGAACCCAGUCGAGAGAGUUCCCCUAAAAGGACUGAUUCCGCUCAACGCACGCAGUGCUGCUGUCCCCUUUUCACAUGCUGCUGCAGUGGAGUAAAAGGCCCUCAAAUCCAGCAGUUCUCUCCUGCCUGCCAUCCCCCCUGAAAGGCCCCCCAACAGACGCAAGUGCUGCUGGAUGCACGCCCUGACACUGGGAGCUGGCCAGAACGACUGCUGCCUGCAGUCCCCCCCCCCCCCCAAGCCCCCCCGGGCCCGAGUGAACCUCUGGCUACACGAGCCGAAGAGGAUUCUGGGAAUUUGGCGCCUCAACACUUGGCAGCUGAGAGACCUGAGCCCACACCUCGCUACCUCCGGGGUAGUCUGGCUUUUGUCCCCGGCGACGGGGGCAGGAUUUGGUCAGGACCCCGUUGGAAAUGAGCUGCCUUUCGGUGCACAUAAAUACUGCGUUAACGGGGGAAAAGCACUGCAUGUUGUUCUGGGAAGUCCAGGGAUUGUCUUUUCCCUUUCCCAGAGUCCAGAUACCCUGACGCAGACGAAGGAAGAGACUGGCACCAGCGCGUCACAAACAGCGACGCUGAAGAGUGUCUAGGAGAGGCACUCCUGGGAGAGAUACUCUUGAUGACUCUGCCCCAUGGCCUUAUUGUUUUGGGAUUUCAACCAGUGUUUCCAUACAUUUUCUGGUCAGCAGGUCACAGUGGGACUGUUCAAAUCUGACAUGGAUUCUAUGUUUAAAGAUGGAGGAAGGUGAACUGUUAGUUCAGUUGUUUUGUUGCUACCAUUUAAGUGCAUCACAAAUGUCAGAAUGAGUGCUUUUUUAGAGCAAUGUUCUAAUGGUCAUACCACCUUGUACCAUCUUUUUUUUUGUUGUUUUUUUUUUGUGGUGAGCUUUUUGCACGUGUCUUCACUUUUUCUUUUCAAGAGAGGAAAUGUCAGAUAUCUAGUUCUGAGAUUAUCACCUUUGAGAAACCGACAAUAUAAUUUGAUUGGGCAAAUCUGUUUUCUCUCUACCUGCUCUCCGCCCCACAGGCAUCAGAGUAAACAUCCUUGGGCCAGUAGAGUCACUCCAGAGGUCUUCUGACUGGGGUGACCUGGAGAACGUGCCUUUUGGUGAAGGCUGAAGUCAAUCUGUGAUAUUGAUAUUCCAUCUUGAAAAUCUUCAUGUCUGUAUCAGUACCGGUUGUUGAUGACAUUGAACAGUUGAAAUCUACAUUUUUUAUGGAAGCGGUUCCAGUUUCAGGCGGAAGCCAACGUGGUACGAUUGGGUUUUGUUACAUGGAAAAUAUUUUCAGGAGUCAGGAGGAAGAAAGUAGUUUGUGGGGGUGGGGGGGUUGCGGUGGACAUUCUGGGGCAAAUAUCUGCUGUUGUCCUCUGAGGAAUCUGAAGCUUGCAUCAGAGAUGUUGUACAUUUUCAUCCCUGGUUUUUGGAAUAUUAGCUUGUCUUUUCAUAUCUGGACUUUGAUCUUGGUUUCGUAUAGGACUAUUUUGGGAGAAAGCUGUGGUUUGUAACCUGUCCAUGUCUGUAACAUUUGUUUUUUUAAGGUAGUUGAACCUCAUCUUUAGAUUAGAUGUGGCUAUUUGUUGUAACUUAAUACAUUUCUUAAUUUUAA
Long non-coding RNA from Anguilla rostrata (American eel), 2319 nucleotides. RefSeq lists it as uncharacterized. NCBI's taxonomy places the organism in Eukaryota, Metazoa, Chordata, Actinopteri, Anguilliformes, Anguillidae. The record is from RefSeq and is a predicted model, not a curated record. The transcript has 2 exons.